Long non-coding RNA from Lutzomyia longipalpis, 588 nucleotides. RefSeq lists it as uncharacterized. The record is from RefSeq and is a predicted model, not a curated record. Lineage: Eukaryota; Metazoa; Arthropoda; Insecta; Diptera; Psychodidae. The transcript has 3 exons.
GCGCGCCUGUCCUAGGACAAGUCGGCACAGUAGUGUGGAAAAGUACGGCACAAAUUAUUUAUAGGGAAAAACAUCAUAACCUCAUUCUUCUUCUUACCCUGGCAACUGACGCAACAAUACGCCAUACUGUGAAUUCUUAAUUUUUAUCAUUUUUCUUGCCUUUAAACUUAUUAUUUGUGAAAUUCAUCAUUCCUGUUCGAGAAUUAAAUUAGUUUUGAAGUGAAAUAUACUGAAAUUCUCAUCAUUUGUGGACCACCUUAGCAGCAAAGGGAGGAUUUGCAUCGCUCAAAGAAAGGGAAUCAGAGUCAUUCAAGGUCACCCGCCAUUCCGGUCAAUUCGCGCCGGAGGUGCCUUUAAUGCUCCCUCUGAUUCUCUUCCGCAGGUGCGUACAAAACAUAUUGAGGUUGAGAGCCAGGGGACACUCCGUCACCAUAGUGUCACUAAUGUUUUUAUCAUCUCCCUCAAAGGUGUGUAAAGCUCAAGAAGGAAGGCAAGGAGGUGAAUUAUCAUUGAAGUUACUAAUCUCUUUUGUGUACAUCUUCUCAAAGGUGCGUACAAAACAUAUUGAGGUUGAGAGCCAGGGGACAC